AGAGCUGCCAUCGUAACAGCUUUUGAUGAUUUUGUACAUCUAAUUUUGAACACUAUAAUAAAAUCCUUCUCCACAGCAGGACGUUUAAAAUGCUGCCACCUGUUGGACAAACUAAAACCAGACAAAGACACAUCUGUGGCAUUAUCAAUAAUUCUGGACAUGAUGACUGGUCUGCUGUUCAAAAACGACGUUUGAAAUGUGGUUUUAGUGCAAAUUUCACCCAAACUGUGCUGCUGUGGCAGCUGAAUGUGCAUCGUAUCAGCACAGCGGUAUUUGUCGUAUAUCUUGAUGCGCUGGGAUGUUGUAGGUGGCAUCAGUACCUACACUGUCAAGUCACUCUGAGAGACUUUUGGUAUCUGUAGUGGUGGCCUAGUGGACCCGAAAUCAUGGCUGCCCACUGCUCACUAUGGGACACAUUGUGGCACUGUGUGCUGUGCUGCAGUGUAUCACAAUGACAAUCGCUUCACUUUCACUAAAUCUAAGCGUUGACCUAUAAAUCUGGCCAAAUCAUUUCAUGUAAUAUUAUGUCUACCCACAUCAAGAAGCCUGGGGAAGUCUAAUAUCACUUUUGAAUUCUGUAUUGUUGUUUUGCAUAUUUUAAUGCAUAUUUGAACGGCGAUUGGACAGUAUGUUGGUGUGGCGUCUGUGCCUAAAUGCACAGUAAACCAGCGUCUCAUUAUUACCUACCUGGCCUGUCCAUAAUGGGACCUCAGGAACAAAGUGUGUUUCCUGGCUGAAACUGUGAAUAUGAACUUCAUCUCUGCGCAUGUUUACCUUGGCCAUGUUCACAUAUUCAGGAAUAUUUCCUGAAACCAGUGGUUAAUUAUUAGUAAUUGACAACAUGAAUACCUCCACCACACCCUGGGGAUGUACGUACAAGAAUGGCCUCGACUUUACUGUCAAUAUGGUGCUUACGGCUGGUGUCAACUGGACCAUUUCUGUAGUUUUAUAUCAUGAUGUUUUAACGCUGUGCACUUUAAUAUUUUGAUUCAGCUGUACUGUACUCUGCCUUAUCACUUGCACCUACAAUAAAAGCUGCAGACGUUGCCUUCAGUGCUUCUUUAACUACAUUCAGCGCAUUUUCGUCCAGAUCCGACUUUCUCUGUUCCAGAAUCAGUUCAUUAAAAAC
Long non-coding RNA from Denticeps clupeoides (denticle herring), 1129 nucleotides. The record is from Ensembl. Lineage: Eukaryota; Metazoa; Chordata; Actinopteri; Clupeiformes; Denticipitidae.